UUGAACGCUGGCGGCAUGCCUUACACCUGCAAGUCGAACGGUAACGGGUCCUUCGGGAUGCCGACGAGUGGCGAACGGGUGAGUAAUAUAUCGGAACGUGCCCAGUAGUGGGGGAUAACUGCUCGAAAGAGCAGCUAAUACCGCAUACGACCUGAGGGUGAAAGGGGGGGAUCGCAAGACCUCUCGCUAUUGGAGCGGCCGAUAUCAGAUUAGCUAGUUGGUGGGGUAAAGGCCUACCAAGGCAACGAUCUGUAGUUGGUCUGAGAGGACGACCAGCCACACUGGGACUGAGACACGGCCCAGACUCCUACGGGAGGCAGCAGUGGGGAAUUUUGGACAAUGGGCGCAAGCCUGAUCCAGCAAUGCCGCGUGCAGGAAGAAGGCCUUCGGGUUGUAAACUGCUUUUGUCAGGGAAGAAAUCUUCUGGGCUAAUACCCCGGGAGGAUGACGGUACCUGAAGAAUAAGCACCGGCUAACUACGUG
Molecule: ribosomal RNA, 483 nt
Filed under: uncultured bacterium
Lineage: Bacteria
Description: partial 16S ribosomal RNA
Rfam family: Bacterial small subunit ribosomal RNA
Source: RNAcentral